Molecule: long non-coding RNA, 3611 nt
Filed under: Zostera marina
Lineage: Eukaryota; Viridiplantae; Streptophyta; Magnoliopsida; Alismatales; Zosteraceae
Description: long non-coding RNA (ZMAR_LNC001936)
Source: RNAcentral
AUUAUUAUUAUUAUAUUUUGACACUUUAUUCAAGGUAUAAUAUUCCAAGGGGACAAAACACUAUUCAAGUUUAAAUUUAUACAAAGAUAAGAUUCUCCAACAAACUCUAUCCAAGAAAAGCACUAUUCAAGAUAAGAUCAAAGACAAAGCUUGGAUUUAUGUGAGAGAUCAAGGAGCCAUCCAUUGAAGAUCCAAGGGUGGACAUUGAGUGGCCAAGGCUAUAAAUAGAAGGGUAAUCUCCUCAUUUUCACUCACCACACUACAAGCAAACUCAAGAGCUUUCACUCCACACUUGCCCACACGUUUUUGCCUCCAAGCUUCCAAGCUUUCAAGUGCUCAAGUGUCCUAGCUUUCCAAAGCUUCAAAAGCUCUCCAACUUCUUAUUCUAAUCUUCUUGUUCAUCUUUACAAGUAAGAAGUGUUGUUUGCUUUAAUAUUCCACUCCUCUAAUCACCUCUUGUGUGUGUCCACUUUGGUUGAGAGGGUUGAGAGUGCAAAGAAUGCAUUGAAGACCACCAAAAGGUAUGUUUUAAAUUAAAUAUUAUUCUGGUUAAAAGCCACUAAAAUACAAGCCUUGCUAAGAUCCUAGCUAGCUCUUAGAUGAUAGUUUCAAAAUCUCAUUACUUGUUAAAUCUAACAAGUCAUGUCAGUACAUGGGAAAUCAAAGAACUCUCUUUUGAGAAGGAGACUGCAAGAUAAAACGAUUUUUCAUGGCUUAGUCAAACCAAAAACAAGAAAUUCUUGGAAACCUAAAAGCUUCAUCUAUAAAUACUAGGUUGUUCACUCUCAAACCAAAACCUUACUUUCUCACCCAUUCCUACCAUCUUCAAAAUGGAUUCGUAUGAUCCAGACUGGAAAAAGGUGAUGGAUCUCAUCACAGGGAAGAAGCAAGUAAGUCAAUCAGAGAUAACUACUCACCUGUUUAAAGAGAUCGAUGAGGCAAAAUCAAGGAUUAAAGUGCUGAAAUCAAGUAUUAAAAACCAAGGAGUUCUGAUCGCAGACUUGCAAUAUCAAAUCGAGAUGUUAAAAGUUCCCACUGAGGAAGCUAACACCAUCAACCAUGGUUUUGAUUAGCUUGCUAUGCCUACUCGAUGCCAUCUGAUUUAGAUGUUCCUUUUUGGUUUCAUCGAUGGUGUUCAAACACCACUAUAACAUCUGUUAAAUAGAUGUUUCUACUUUUUUAAGUCUGUUUUGUUUAAGGUCUAACCAUAGACCUAAGCUUGCUUUAUUUUUAGUGAAAAACAUCAAUGAAAAAUCAAUUUCUCACUAAGUAUUAAAGACUUAAAAGUAGAUAUGAUUCUCAAAUAGUUCUUUAUCAAGAAUCAUCAAAAAUCCAACCAUUAAAUAAAUAUGAUUAACUCCAUAUCUUCAAGAUCUUUUAGAGAUUCAAAUAUUUAAGGGUUGUAUGGAUAAACUAGAAGCUUCAAGGGCUUAAACAUAAAUUAUGUUUGAAGUUUCUAAGUUUAAAAUGAUUCACUAAACUUAAGGAUUAAAAUUAUAUUUCUCAGUGAAUAUAGAGUUAUGUGAAACUUCAAAGACUUAAACAUAAAUCGUUUAUGAAGUUUUUAAGUUUUAAUAGAUUCACGAAAACUUAAGGGUCAAAAUGAUAACUUUACAGUGAAUAUAAAUUUAUGUAAAACUUCAGGGACUUAGAAUCAAUAUUUACAUGAAGUUUUAAUCGAAAAAUUACUUAGAAAUAUUUAACACUUCCAAGGUUUAAAAUGAAAUUUUUUAAGUAUUAAUCUAAGUAUUUAUCAUAACUUCAAAGGGCUUAAAUGAAAUUUUGUUUUAAGUGAAAUUUUACAACUAAGGCUUUAAGGACUGAAAUGAAAAUUUUAAAUCUUUUAAAACUUAGUGAAUAUUUACGUGAUUAUAUUUGUCACUAAGACAUAGAUUUUAAAAUUUUAAAAUGCUCAAAGCAAUUAGUGAAUAUUAUGGAUUUAUACAUAUCAUUCAUAUCUUAUGGAUUAUAACAUUAUAAAAUCUUUAAUCCAUACAUGUUAAGAUCAUCUUCAUCCAUAACACACACAUGGAUUAUUAUUCAUUGCAUGAUCUUAGCACAAGGCAAUUUAAAUUAUCAUAUCAUACUUGCCUUAUAAUGUAUAUCCAAAUUGGCUUCAAUCCAAUAUUUUAUCAAUGAGCAUAAAUUACAUGUUAUUUCUCCUUUAUGAUUGACUAACACUCUUAUAAGCAAGAAGUCACAUUUGGUCAACCACACAAAUCGAAUUUGUGAUCAAAGCUCAAUAAGGUAUGAAGUUUUAUUUUCUCCACAAAUUAGAUAUGUCCUAUCAUUAAGGGGGAGAUACUUCACAGGUAUCUAUUUUAACUUUGUCGAUACCUUAUUGUUUUAAGGGGGAGAAAUCAUGCAUGAUCCACUGCUUUUAAAUUAAAUAUUAUGGGUCAAUAAUUCUGGGGGAGCAUGCUCAUAAGGGUAAAAUAGAAUAUUGACUAGACAUGAGUUAAACAUAUAUGCCAUCGACAAAGGGGGAGAAUGUAGAAUCAAAAUUGUCGACAUAGGAUUAUAUUUUAAUCAUGUCAAUUUAAACCCUAAUUACACUAUUAAUCAAUAGGGGGUAAAUAAGUCAAUCGAUAUUAAACCUAACUCCAGUUAAUUAAUUAAUCAUUUGAGUUAAGGGUUUAAGUCAAAGUUAAAAGUCAAAUUGGGAGAAUUGCAUUAUCACCUUGAAUAUUAUUAUUUGGAAUAAUUGCAUUUUUACCUUGAAUAUUAUUAUUAUUAUCUUUUGACACUUUAUUCAAGGUAUAAUAUUCCAAGGGGACAAAACACUAUUCAAGUUUGAAUUUAUACAAAGAUAAGAUUCUCUAACAAACUCUAUCCAAGAAAAGCACUAUUCAAGAUAAGAUCAAAGACAAAGCUUGGAUUUAUGUGAGAGAUCAAGGAGCCAUCCAUUGAAGAUCCAAGGGUGGACAUUGAGUGGCCAAGGCUAUAAAUAGAAGGGUAAUCCCCUCAUUUUCACUCACCACACUACAAGCAAACUCAAGAGCUUUCACUCCACACUUGCCCACACAUUUUUGCCUCCAAGCUUCCAAGCUUUCAAGUGCUCAAGUGUCCUAGCUUUCCAAAGCUUCAAAAGCUCUCCAACUUCUUCUUCUAAUCUUCUUGUUCAUCUUUACAAGUAAGAAGUGUUGUUUGCUUUAAUAUUCCACUCUUCUAAUCACCUCUUGUGUGUGUCCACUUUGGUUGAGAGGGUCGUCUCAAUAGUACCAAAGUGUGAGAGAAGGUUUUUGAGCUCAACCAUAAAGCUCUAGUUUGGUUUUAUAGAGUUUCCGGGAAAACUCUUAGGUCGAGUCUACCUUUAAAGAUUUCAGAGGUUUUUAAGAGUUCCUUGAUACUCUAAGGUACUAACUUACCCGUAAAAGUUAGAGGUUCUUAAAAGUGCCCUUGAUACUCUAAGGUGUGAGUCUACCCGUAAAAGACUGGUUCCUAAGCGAAGUAGCCUUAAAGCUUAGAGAGGUUUUUAAGCGUUUCCUUGAUACUCUAAGGUUUUUCCAUUACCUUUAGGCGAGUGAAUUCCGGCAGUUGGUCGGGACUGGACUAGCCCUUGUUUGGGUGAACCAGUAUAAAUCUCUUGUGUUGUUCUCUGUUAAUUAUAG